GCCUGGGUGGCUCAGUCAGUUAAGCAUCCGACUUCGGCUCAGGUCAUGAUCUCACGGUCCGUGGGUUCAAACCCCACUUCAGGCU
Molecule: transfer RNA, 85 nt
Filed under: Felis catus (domestic cat)
Lineage: Eukaryota; Metazoa; Chordata; Mammalia; Carnivora; Felidae
Rfam family: tRNA
About the family: Transfer RNA (tRNA) molecules are approximately 80 nucleotides in length.
Source: Rfam by way of RNAcentral